RNAcentral lists this long non-coding RNA (334 nucleotides) under Androctonus crassicauda. Lineage: Eukaryota; Metazoa; Arthropoda; Arachnida; Scorpiones; Buthidae. The record is from RNAcentral.
CAAUACAAUUAAAUUAUAUAAUAUUAGUAUACAAGGUAUCAGGUGAUGACCAAUGUCUAAAACGACGUCUUCUACAAAGGUGGAAGGUCAAGUUAUUGGAGAUGAUAUAUAAGCUCUUGUGGGAGUUUUUAGUGUGUGGUCAACUGAAGAGCAUUAGACAAUCAGGGAAGCCAAGAAAAACUGGGUCCAAAAAAAAGAACUAUGGUGUCUCCACUAAAAGAACUGUAGUUCAUCGUCAUUUCAAUUUUCUACAUUCAUCUCCCAGUUGUUUUCACCAUCCUCUCCUCAACAGAGCACAAAAAGGAUUGAUCCUCCUCAGUUCUAAUUCCUUUGU